RNAcentral lists this ribosomal RNA (906 nucleotides) under uncultured archaeon. Its description in RNAcentral is "bacterial SSU rRNA". It matches the Rfam family "Archaeal small subunit ribosomal RNA", at positions 21 to 903 of the family's 1478-position model. The record is from RNAcentral.
CCCCACUGCUAUCGGGGUGGGACUAAAACAUGCAAGUCGAGCGCCUCCAAGCUAUGGUGAAGGCGCGGCAAACGGCUCAGUAACACGUGGCCAACCUACCCUUGGGACGGAGACAACCCCGGGAAACUGGGGCUAAUCCCCGAUAAGUAAGGAAUCCUGGAAUGGAUCUUUGCUGAAAGGGCGUCUAGACCAUGCUUCUUGACGUCGCCCAAGGAUGGAGCCGCGACCGAUCAGGUAGUUGGCGAGGCAACGGCUCACCAAGCCUAUAACCGGUACGGGCCGUGAGAGCGGGAGCCCGGAGAUGGGCACUGAGACAAGGGCCCAGGCCCUACGGGGCGCAGCAGUUGCGAAAACUCCGCAAUGCGCGAAAGCGUGACGGGGCUACCCCGAGUGCCGCCCGUUGAGGGCGGCUUUUCCGCGGUGUAAGGAGCCGUGGGAAUAAGGAGAGGGCAAGACUGGUGUCAGCCGCCGCGGUAAUACCAGCUCUCCGAGUGGUGGGGACGAUUAUUGGGCUUAAAGCGUUCGUAGCCGGCUUAACAAGUCUUCCGUUAAAUCCAACGAUCUAAUCGUUGGGCUGCGGGAGAUACUGUUGGGCUAGGAGGCGGGAGAAGCCGACGGUAUUCUCGGGGUAGGGGUGAAAUCCUGUAAUCCCGGGAGGACCACCAGUGGCGAAGGCGGUCGGCUAGAACGCGCUCGACGGUGAGGGACGAAAGCUGGGGGAGCGAACCGGAUUAGAAACCCGGGUAGUCCCAGCUGUAAACGAUGCGGGCUAGGUGUUGGGGUGGCCACGAGCCACUUCAGUGCCGCAUGGAAGCAAUUAAGCCCGCCGCCUGGGGAGUACGGCCGCAAGGCUGAAACUUAAAGGAAUUGGCGGGGGAGCACCACAAGGCGUGAAGCUUGCGGUUU